RNAcentral lists this ribosomal RNA (253 nucleotides) under uncultured bacterium. RNAcentral's name for it is "partial 16S ribosomal RNA". It matches the Rfam family "Bacterial small subunit ribosomal RNA", at positions 524 to 776 of the family's 1533-position model. The record is from RNAcentral.
UACGUAGGGGGCGAGCGUUGUCCGAAGUUACUGGGCGUAAAGGGCUCGUAGGCGGCCAACUAAGUCAGACGUGAAAUCCCCAGGCUCAACCUGGGAACUGCGUCUGAUACUGGAUGGCUUGAAUCCGGGAGAGGGAUGCAGAAUUCCAGGUGUAGCGGUGAAAUGCGUAGAUAUCUGGAGGAAUACCGGUGGCGAAGGCGGCAUCCUGGACCGGCAUUGACGCUGAGGAGCGAAAGCUAGGGGAGCAAACGGG